This 1474-nucleotide long non-coding RNA is filed under the name Sus scrofa (pig). RNAcentral describes it as "lncRNA (ENSSSCG00055024814.1)". Lineage: Eukaryota; Metazoa; Chordata; Mammalia; Artiodactyla; Suidae. The record is from RNAcentral.
GCGUCUGAUCCGAGGCGGCCGCCUUCUCCCCGCGCGUGGUGCCUCCUGGGGUGACCGCUGCUCCGUCUCCGCCGCAGGCGCCCCCGGGCCACUCUCCCGUACCGCCUGGACCAGGAGUUGUGUUUCUGGGGCUGCCGGGGCCCGGCCUUGCCGCCUGUCGCCACCUGCAGCAGCCUGGGCGAUUACUGGCUGAGCCCGCAGCGCCGGCGCCCACCGGGCGCCACCUGGCGCUGGCCCGCUCGCAAUAUGCUGCUACUGCCAGGGGCCACCGGGCUGGCGGAUAUACCCUCGGCGCGCUGGCCCAGCUGCUACGGCGUUCGCCCGCGCCUCACGUGGAAGCACCGGUGGCAGAAUAUUAACUACCAGUAUCUGGGCAAGAGGAAGAGACAUCUAGUUCCUCUGCGCCCGUGAGAGCCGCCAACAGAUAUUUAUGGAGCCCCCCCUCAUUUGGAAAGUGACCUUGAGGCAGAAGAGAAUGGCUGGAGGGGCUGGACUUGUGUAGAGAGUCAAGCAAGAAGGCUGAUGAAGUAGCCCAGGUCCAGAUGAGGAGACUGAGGCUCAGAAGAGAGGGCCUAGAGCCACACAGCUGGGAAGUGACAAAGCCAACUCUUCACCCCUACAGUUGCCUCAACACAACAAUCCCUCACUGAAUCCUUGCCACAACCGGAAGUGGUACCCGAUGUCCUGGUUUUACAGCAGGUGUUGUGAUGCUCAGCAAGAGGAAGGGACUUGUCCAGGUCACAAAGCCCGAAGGUUGCAGCAGUUUGGAUCCAAAUCAUUUGGGGGGAACAGGUGAUGGGGCAAGAACAGUGUGGAGAGGAAGAGGUGGGACUGGCAACUGGACAAAAAGAGUGUUUCAGUUUCCCUUUUAAAGGGGCUUCCCCCAAAAUGGGGGAUUUUGGCUGGAAAGUUGUUAGUAAUCCACAUUCCACUGGUUUGGCCAUCUCCGCCUCAAAGGCUCCCAGGAACUGAAAAGAAACUGAAAGUUGGGAAGAGGGGAGGGGAGGAGGGAAGGGAGAGGCUGGGGACAGAGUAACUGGGUUGAGUUUCUGGUGACCUCACUGAGCCUGGGGGAGGCAGGCAGGCGAGCUGGGAUUACACACCUCUUAGCUAUUGGAAAAAUUGAGCCCCAGAGAGACACCCCUAUUUGUGGCUGGGUCCUUUGUGCAGCCACCCCCAACACACACACACAGACACACAGACACACAGACACACNACACACACACACACACACACACACACACACACACACACACACACGGCGUGGGGUGGGGGCAGGGGGAACCAGGGGAAGAGGGAGGAAAAUGGAGAAACGAAAGCUCUGGGCAGGAGUGUCCUCUGUGGUGCAAUGGAAUUGGUGGCAUCUCUGCAGUGUCAGAUUUAGGUUCAAACCCCAGCCCAGCACAGUGGGGUUAAAAGAUCCAACAGUGCCGCAGCUACGGUAUGGCUUGGAUCUGAUCCCUGACCAGGGAAC